This 578-nucleotide ribosomal RNA is filed under the name uncultured bacterium. Its description in RNAcentral is "bacterial SSU rRNA". It matches the Rfam family "Bacterial small subunit ribosomal RNA", at positions 338 to 916 of the family's 1533-position model. The record is from RNAcentral.
CCUACGGGAGGCAGCAGUAAGGAAUAUUGGUCAAUGGACGAAAGUCUGAACCAGCUAUGCCGCGUGAAGGAUUAAGGUCCUCUGGAUUGUAAACUUCUUUUAUAUGGGACGAAAAAAGGUCUUUCUAGAUCACUUGACGGUACCAUAUGAAUAAGCACCGGCUAACUCCGUGCCAGCAGCCGCGGUAAUACGGAGGGUGCAAGCGUUAUCCGGAUUCACUGGGUUUAAAGGGUGCGUAGGCGGGCAGGUAAGUCAGUGGUGAAAUCCUGGAGCUCAACUCCAGAACUGCCAUUGAUACUAUCUGUCUUGAAUAUUGUGGAGGUAAGCGGAAUAUGUCAUGUAGCGGUGAAAUGCUUAGAUAUGACAUAGAACACCUAUUGCGAAGGCAGCUUACUACGCAUAUAUUGACGCUGAGGCACGAAAGCGUGGGGAUCAAACAGGAUUAGAUACCCUGGUAGUCCACGCCCUAAACGAUGGAUACUCGACAUAUGCGAUACACUGUAUGUGUCUGAGCGAAAGCAUUAAGUAUCCCACCUGGGAAGUACGUUCGCAAGAAUGAAACUCAAAGGAAUUGACGG